CUACGGGUCGCUGCAGUGGGGAAUAUUGCACAAUGGACGCAAGCCUGAUGCAGCCAUGCCGCGUGUAUGAAGAAGGCCUUCGGGUUGUAAAGUACUUUCAGCGGGGAGGAGGGGAGUAAAGUUAAUACCUUUGCUCAUUGACGUUACCCGCAGAAGAAGCACCGGCUAACUCCGUGCCAGCAGCCGCGGUAAUACGGAGGGUGCAAGCGUUAAUCGGAAUUACUGGGCGUAAAGCGCACGCAGGCGGUUUGUUAAGUCAGAUGUGAAAUCCCCGGGCUCAACCUGGGAACUGCAUCUGAUACUGGCAAGCUUGAGUCUCGUAGAGGGGGGUAGAAUUCCAGGUGUAGCGGUGAAAUGCGUAGAGAUCUGGAGGAAUACCGGUGGCGAAGGCGGCCCCCUGGACGAAGACUGACGCUCAGGUGCGAAAGCGUGGGGAGCAAACAGGAUUAGAUACCCUAGUAGUC
Molecule: ribosomal RNA, 464 nt
Filed under: uncultured bacterium
Lineage: Bacteria
Description: partial 16S ribosomal RNA
Rfam family: Bacterial small subunit ribosomal RNA
Source: RNAcentral